This 478-nucleotide ribosomal RNA is filed under the name uncultured bacterium. RNAcentral describes it as "partial 16S ribosomal RNA". It matches the Rfam family "Bacterial small subunit ribosomal RNA", at positions 28 to 507 of the family's 1533-position model. The record is from RNAcentral.
GAUGAACGCUGGCGGCGUGCUUAACACAUGCAAGUCGAACGAGAAGUGAAGACGGAAACCUUCGGGCGGAAGGCUUUAUUUCGAGUGGCGGACGGGUGAGUAACGCGUGGGUAACCUGCCUCAUACAGGGGGAUAACAGUUGGCAACGACUGUUAAUACCGCAUAAGACCACAGCACCGCAUGGUGCGGGGGUAAAAACUCCGGUGGUCUGAGAUGGACCCGCGUUCGAUUAGCCAGUUGGCGGGGUAACGGCCCACCAAAGCGACGAUCGAUAGCCGAUCUGAGAGGAUGACCGGCCACAUUGGGACUGAGACACGGCCCAAACUCCUACGGGAGGCAGCAGUGGGGAAUAUUGCACAAUGGGGGAAACCCUGAUGCAGCGACGCCGCGUGAGUGAAGAAGUAUUUCGGUAUGUAAAGCUCUAUCAGCAGGGAAGAAAAUGACGGUACCUGAGGAAGAAGCCCCGGCUAACUACGUG